CAGGCUGCUUUUAACUUUUAACUUUUUAUAUUUUGAAAGUUUUAUUCCUCGGAUGCUUCAAAACACUCUAUUUCUUCUCUCUCUAGCCCUCUUCCUCUCUCUCUCUCUUUCUAACUCUUUGUCAAAGUCGAACUCUCCUAAGAUCUGGCAUCUUCUGAAGUUCCUUGCCCACAUCUCUUAUCUUCUCUGAGUUUUAUCACACUGCCAAGUAUUUUCAUAAUACUUGUUUAUUUCUAGGUUGAAGAGAACAUUUGCAAACUCGUGAAGAAGGGUUUGACACCUUCUCAGAUUGGUGUGAUUCUUCGUGAUUCCCACAGUAUUGCUCAGGUCAAGAGUGUUACCGGUAGCAAGAUCUUGCAUAGUCUCCAGGCUCAUGGUGCAAGGCUAUUACUUCAAAGAAUUUCUAUCUGUUGUGUCUUAUAGAUGUGUUUGUUGCUUUUUAUGAUAUUUGGUUGGUGGUCUAACAUUAUGAUAAUAGUAAUGUACUUAAUAUUUUAAGUUAGAUAAUAUUUUAAUAAUACACUUAAUGUUUAUUGAUUGCUAGUUACAUUUAAUGUUUAAUGUUUAGUGUGCAAUUUUAGUGUUUGUUGAGGGAUAAAUGGAAUAUGGCUUGUUGAGGUAGUGAGCUUUGCAUGGCAUAUUGUGAGAAUGAGAUUGUUGUUUCAUGGAAUGAGAAGUGUGGAAGAAGACAAUAUUUAAAUUAAUUUUCAUUUUUAUGGAUUGUUAAUUUAUUUAA
Long non-coding RNA from Ziziphus jujuba (common jujube), 736 nucleotides. RefSeq lists it as uncharacterized. The transcript is spliced from 4 exons. The record is from RefSeq and is a predicted model, not a curated record. NCBI's taxonomy places the organism in Eukaryota, Viridiplantae, Streptophyta, Magnoliopsida, Rosales, Rhamnaceae.